UUACAUACAAACUUCAAAAGAAACCAUUUAUUUCAUGAAAAUUGGAUACAACAAUAAUUAAAAGGGGCAAUUACUAGCCUCCAUUCCAACCAAAUAGAGUAAAAAAUACACUUCUUUUAAAAUAAGCAACUAGUAGUACUACAAGCAUACAAAUAACAAAAUACCAAACACAGAAAGAAACUAAUUUUGUCUUAAGCACAUUGGAAGUUCUUGGGUGCAUAUUUGCCACAAUUGUUGAGCAACAAGCUAAGGGAAAGUGGAACAUUUAGAUUAAUUCCCAACACAUUGGCUUUAAGGGCAGUGCAAAGGCAGACAGCAGCAUCAAGGUCAACAAGUCCUUCAAUUAAAGAGCAACAUUGAGUCUUGGCUGGACUACUUCCAACAACAAGGUGCAAUAAAUCACCCAAUAAAUUGGCACAAGCAUUUAGUUUUAGUGUGUCCUUUGGGCACUUACCCUUUGAUGAUGGGGUGGAGGGGGUAGGGGUAGGGUAGUGGGGUUUGGGGUGUGGGGGUGGUGGGCAUGGGGCAUUAGUGGAACUAACCAUAGUGAAAAAAAGAAUGUUCAAUGUGAGAACAAGGGCAAUUGAGGUUGCACCAAACUUAGACAUUUUUUCCAAACUUAAGAAAUUAAAAUUAGCACUCUCAACAAUUGAAUGUGGCUAAUUAGUUGUUUGCUUGGUGUUUGAAAAUGAAUGAAAUGAGUGGCUAUUUAUAGGUAAAAAUUUAUGAUUUUUAUUAUUAGAAAAUUGAAAGAGGGCCAUGUGGAUAGAGAAUAUUGUGUAGUCAAGCAGUUGGCAAAUCCAAAUUGAGAUACUACUACUAUUAUUGGAUUAUAAACUUACUAAAUUGUAUUUUUGUGGAUUUCAUUAGUUAUUAAUAAUAAAAUUAAUAAUAUAUGAUAUAUCUUCUUCCUCAGAGAUAAAUUACACAUCCUUUAUUUUCACAUGGGACUUACAUUAUUCUCUCUAAUUAUUUGAUCAAUAUUGUUCUUGAACAUGCACGACCUGGAUCCAUGCAUCAAGAUUAAUUCUAAGUUUGGAAGCUAGUAGUAAUUAAAGAAAUGCCUGUUAAUUUUUUGAGUUUAACUCAACUACAUUCCACAAAUUAUAGUCAUAGACUCUAUUUUAUGCCUUUAUUUUUCAAGAAUCAAAUUACAUGAAAUUUUGAUUAACACUAUAAAAUAUACUUUUUGUCAUGUUGAUAUGAGAAAAAUUAUAAUUUCGUAGUACUUUUUCUAUAGUUAUUGAAUAUCUAAAAUUUAAUUUUAAAAUAUUAAAUCAAUCUAAUUUAAUAAAGCUUUGAAGAAUCAAACUGAGUCUCGAAAAGAGAAAAUGUGAUAACUAUUUUGAGACGAAAAGCGCGUAAAAUAGUCGAUUAUCAUUAUUUUUCUCUUCUGUCGAGGAAAUUGUGUGGCCUAUAUAUGUUUAGUUUUUGAUCAAUGAUAUAUGAAUGAAGUCAAUUAUUAGUAGCACAAUAUGGAAAAAAUGAAGUUAUGAGGAAGACAAGUAAUAUUUUUUAGAGUCAAAGUGUGAAUACAGAUAGUAAGAUUCUCAAUUAACUUUAUAUCUAUUUUUAGCACUACAAUAUGUGUGGUAUACUUGUAUUGGUAGACCAAAAAAAUCAAAAAAACAAACGCAAAUAUUGACAAUUUAUUGUCAAAGAUGCUAAUAAAAUAUUAAAGUUACUAGAAAUUCAACGAAAUGCAUGCGAUUGGACAGUUUAAAAGGUUUGAUAUAUUUUUGAAUAUUACUCAUAUUUAUCUUUAUUAUUAUAUAACUUACAAGUACAUAUAUCAUUUUCUUCUGAUAGACGUGAAAAAAUUAAUUUUAACUCAAACUUUUAAUUACUUUUUGACAAAAAUAUAGUCCAUAUAUAUGGGUAUAUUUUGAUCCUCAUCACACAUAUUUUUUUUGAUUUUAUGUUUCAACUUCUAAUUUAAAUUUAUUAUUUUGAUAGUCAAAUUUAUUUAUGUUUCACUAAUUUUCUUGUAAGAUUUAUUAUAAAUGUCUAAUUUAAAUUUAUUAUUUUGAUGGUCAAAGAUAUAAAGUCAUCAUCAUAACUUUGCAAUUGUUCUAUUACUCCACUAAACAAUUUUGAACAUAUAUUAUUAUAUUAUUUUUUAUCCAUCCCAAAUUUUAUAAAGCAAGUGUAUUCACACGUCAAUCACAUGAUACUAAUAUGGAGUAACAAAUAAACAGCCUUAAUACAAUACAGAAAGAGAUAUAAUCAAAUAAUCUAAUUUCUUUAUAAUUCAUAAAUUUGUUAAAAACUCACGGGUAGAGGAAUCAAAAGUACACAUGUUAAAUUGUUUAACUAAAUAUCACAAGAACUAAAAUUAAAAUAUAACAAAUUAUUUGAGGGACUAAGAGUGAAAUUUUCCCUUUAGGUAAAUUAAGAAGAAGAAAAAAAUAGAAAGCAACGUACAAAUACUCAUCAAUUAUUACACAUCUUGAAAUAAAACUUAUAACAAUAUAGGAUUGUAUAAGUUCAAGAUCAAAUAUUAACAACUCGUAGACAAACUCAUGCUUAAGGAUUAUUUAUAGAGCCAGGAUUGGAAUUUAGAGUUUUAAAUUUUUAAGACGGAAGAUUAAGAUAUUGUAAAGUAUCCUUUAAAAAAAUUUUUUUUAUUGGUACGGGUUCGAACUUCGAACCCACAAUCAGGACGUAGCUAUACAGUCUUGGACAUUCUUCGUCAGAAAAUUAUAUCGUAUAUAUUACUAAAAUAAUAUACAAAGUGGUAAAAUAAUGUAUUCUGCAAAUCCUUAACACAACAAGGUGAGUUUCAAAUAUAGCUAGUAGCAACUUUAAGCCUUUUUUUUUCAAACUUUUUCAUGUAUAUUGCGUACUAUUUUACAAUAUAUUUUUUCAUGUACAUUACAUAUUUUUUUUUAAAAGAAAAUUUCAUAUAUAUUACGUAAUUUAAUUUUUAAAAUUUCUAAUGCCGUCAGACAGUUUUGUUAAUAAAUUCACUAGCGAAUAUACACACACAUAUAUAUAUCCAUCUUUUGACCUAAGCAAACUUUAAAUGGAUUAUGAUCUAUCCUUUUAUUAAUUUGACAGGUUUAAGUAAUUGGAGUAUAGCUUGAUUAACUCACACAUUUAAAUUUCAUUUGUCAAUCUUUUUCGAAGAGAAAAAGGUAAUAAUAAUUCCUUAUUUAAUAGAUGUCAAAUUUAUUACAAAUACAAAUAAUUGGAUACUUACUAAUAGUAAACAAAGGCUAACGAGCCUAGGCUUUCUUACUAUAAUAUAAAUAAUAAACACACAAAAAUAUAGAAGGAAAAAUAAAAUUGAAAAUAUCUAAAUAAUGGAAAAGCAAUAUGAUUUAUGCACAUUGGAAGUCCUUGGGUGCAUAUUUGCCACAAUUGUUGAGCAACAAGCUGAGUGAAAGUGGAAGAUUUAGAUUAAUACCCAACAAAUUGGCUUUAAGGGCAGUGCAAAGGCAAACAGCAGCAUCAAGGUCAACAAGUCCUUCAAUUAAAGAGCAACAUUGAGUCUUGGAUGGACUACUUCCAAUAAUAAGGUGCAAUAAGUCACCCAACAAAUUUGCACAAGCAUUUAGCUUUAGUGUGUCCUUUGGGCACUCACCCUUAGGUGAUGGGGUGGAGGGGGUAGGGUGGGGUUUGUGGUGUGGGGGUGAUGGGCAUGGGACAUUAGUGGAACUAACCAUAGUGAAAAAAAGAAUGUUCAAUGUGAGAACAAGGGCAAUUGAGGAUGCACCAAACUUAGCCAUUUUUUUCAAAGAUAAGAAUUAUUAGCACUCUCAACUAUUGAAUGUGGCUAAUUAGUAGUGAGAAU
Molecule: long non-coding RNA, 3796 nt
Filed under: Solanum lycopersicum (tomato)
Lineage: Eukaryota; Viridiplantae; Streptophyta; Magnoliopsida; Solanales; Solanaceae
Description: long non-coding RNA (SLYC_LNC000579)
Source: RNAcentral